Molecule: non-coding RNA, 315 nt
Organism: Pogona vitticeps (central bearded dragon)
Lineage: Eukaryota; Metazoa; Chordata; Lepidosauria; Squamata; Agamidae
Source: RefSeq, a predicted model, not a curated record
AAGCACCAUAGCAUUUACUUUUGCCCUGACAUAAAAACAGGAGACCUUACUAUGAGUGGGAGAACUUGUGAAGAAGAAUACAACGUGAGCCAGCUUCCAACCCACCUCUUCCUGGAUGCCAGGGGCAUGUCAAGCUGCAGAAAGCCAGAUUUCAAGCAGUCCUGUCCAAGUCGGAGGGAAAGACGAGAGAACCAGAAGGUCCUUGAAGAAGCCCAUUCACCCUCGCCAAGCCCAGGACGACAGGCUCGGAAUCAGGCACGCCAUCAGGAGGUUCACCGUUUCUCUCCUUCUCCCCACCCACCUUGCGAGACGUAU